GUAGGUGAACCUGCAGAUGGAUCAUUUC
RNAcentral lists this ribosomal RNA (28 nucleotides) under Pseudozyma sp. HB 1191. RNAcentral describes it as "partial 18S ribosomal RNA". The record is from RNAcentral. RNAcentral also lists the same sequence under 2 other names. Lineage: Eukaryota; Fungi; Basidiomycota; Ustilaginomycetes; Ustilaginales; Ustilaginaceae.